GAUGAACGCUGGCGGCGUGCCUAAUACAUGCAAGUCGAGCGAACAGACGAGGAGCUUGCUCCUCUGACGUUAGCGGCGGACGGGUGAGUAACACGUGGAUAACCUACCUAUAAGACUGGGAUAACUUCGGGAAACCGGAGCUAAUACCGGAUAAUAUAUUGAACCGCAUGGUUCAAUAGUGAAAGACGGUUUUGCUGUCACUUAUAGAUGGAUCCGCGCCGCAUUAGCUAGUUGGUAAGGUAACAGCUUACCAAGGCAACGAUGCGUAGCCGACCUGAGAGGGUGAUCGGCCACACUGGAACUGAGACACGGUCCAGACUCCUACGGGAGGCAGCAGUAGGGAAUCUUCCGCAAUGGGCGAAAGCCUGACGGAGCAACGCCGCGUGAGUGAUGAAGGUCUUCGGAUCGUAAAGCUCUGUUAUUAGGGAAGAACAAAUGUGUAAGUAACUAUGCACGUCUUGACGGUACCUAAUCAGAAAGCCACGGCUAACUACGUG
Molecule: ribosomal RNA, 497 nt
Filed under: uncultured bacterium
Lineage: Bacteria
Description: partial 16S ribosomal RNA
Rfam family: Bacterial small subunit ribosomal RNA
Source: RNAcentral